This 1546-nucleotide long non-coding RNA is filed under the name Bemisia tabaci. Its description in RNAcentral is "lncRNA ENSASIAIIG002131". The record is from RNAcentral. Lineage: Eukaryota; Metazoa; Arthropoda; Insecta; Hemiptera; Aleyrodidae.
CGGCAAUGUCUUGACUAUGACGGUCGGUGAGUUUAGUUUACUUCGAUUUGGCUCUAAAUUGUCGUAUAUAUGUAUGACAUUGACCGUCAACAACAAUUUUUCGAACAAUUUUCACAAUCGGACACACAAUGCCUCAAAUAUGCCGGAUUUCCGAACAAUUUACGAUAAUAUCUGUGAUUAUCUGCAAGCUCCACGCCGUGUUGUCGCUGUCGUCUGGCGCUCCCAAUUCAAUAACGUUGUACAAAGACAAGGAUUUCAAAGGCACCCAUUGUGAAAUUCAAGUUGAGGGGUGUAAACCGAUGUGCCCUGGAAUGGAGAGGAAAGCUUCAUCCAUUCAAGGAAACGCCACCUGCGCCCAUUUUUUUCGCGAGAAAAAUUGCCAGACGUACAUUGGCACCUGGAACGCAACCUUUGGUCCGUAUAAAAACUUUCAGGGUGGAGCCGGCCAAGACUCCAUUGUUUCUGUCGGGGACUGCUCUCAACCUAUCGAUCCAGAUUAUUCAAUCUCAUUUUACGAGCACAAGGACUUUCGCGGGAAGAGAUGCAACAUUCAGAUGCCGUCGAGAGGUUGCAAGCCGAUGUGUCCAGAUCUAGAAAACCGAGCCUCGUCCGCAUUCGGGAAUGGCGUCAGCUGCGCCAAAAUGUACAAGGAGCCGAAUUGCAAGGGAUUUUUGGGGAUUUUGGACUUCGCCGGGUUCGCUCAACCAGAUUUCAAAGACACAAACCUCCAAGAUAGCAUUUCCUCUAUCAGCGACUGUUCCAACAGUUCCAUUUCAUUUUACGAGCUUAAAUACCUUAGCGGGAAGAGAUGUGACAUACCCGUGAAAGGCUGCCAACCAAUGUGCCCGGAGUUGGUAAAACUAGCUUCCUCUGCCGAAGGCGAUGCGCAAUGCGCGAACGCUUACAGCGAGGCCAAUUGCAAGGGGUUUUUAGGCACCUUGAGGUUUAGCGACGGCGAACCCUACAAUAACUUCAAAUACGGAGAGUUUCAAGAUUCGAUUUCCUCGAUAGGCGAGUGCGUUAAAAACAACACCGUUAUAUUUUACGAGCACAAGGAUUUCGGCGGGAAGAGAUGCGAGAUGCAGGUGAAGAAGAGCUGUCAACCCAUGUGUCCGGGAUUGGAUAAACAAGUUUCAUCCGCUCAGGGAUUCGUCGAUUGCGUCGAGAUCUAUGCUGCCGCCAACUGCACCGAUCCAAUAGAUUAUUUGAAAUUUAGUGAGGGCAGUUCCAACGAAGAUAAUAGAGAUUUCUUUGGUGAAAACAAACAGGACGCAAUUUCCUCCUUCCAGGCAUGUCUAUAAAUGAAGAAUUUAGGAUCCAAUAGGCAAAAUGAAAUUUUUUGUCGCAAAUUAAUAUAUAUACAUAUAUAAACAGUGGCUUAAAGUCAAAUUCGAAAAAAUAGAGACACAAAAAAAUCAAUGUGAGGUGAUAUAAGAGGAAAUUUAUUCCCAAAAAUUUUGAUAAUUUUAAACAAUUGUCUAAAAGUAAAAACAAUGGAUUCACUGAAAAUUGUCUAAGUAGAAUUUUAUAAUACUCCUCUUGACGU